UCAGAGGAAUUUGUCUAUGUAUAUCGUCAUUACCCGUUCAUUCUCACUUUUUUUCAUUUUCUAUACCACCGUCUUAAGAUAAAAUUUCAAGGUUUUAUCUUAAACUCUUUUGAUAAGUCAGGUCAAGGUGGAGAUUAUAAAAAAGUUUAGAUUAAUUAUUAAUAAAUAAUAUUUAAGGUUGGGUUUCUAAAGAAAUCCUAAAUGAAGAUUUGAAAGUAGUUUUUUAUUAAAUUUAUAAUACGAAUUUGCUUUAGGUGUACAUAUUGCCCGUCACCCUCGUCUAAAGAUGAGGUAAGUCGUAACAUAGUUAGUGUACUGGAAAGUGUACUAAGGGGAUUUAAAAGCUUUAGCGUUUCAUUUACACAGAAAAGAUUAGUUUUCAAGUUCUUUCGUUUCUUCUUUAAUUAAAUUAAUAUAAUUAACCUUUCUUUUCUUAUCUUUUUUUAUAACCGUAAGGGAAUAUUUAUUGUUAUUAAGAAAUUUUUCUAUUUACCUUUUGUAUCAGGGUGAUUCAAUCUUUACUUUAAAAAAUACUCUCCCGAAAUAAAAUGAGCUACUCUUCUUUUUAUAUUUUGUAGCAAAAAGAUAAUAAAAGUUUAGUAGAAGUGAAAUUCCACUCGUAUUUUUUUAUAUCUGGUUUUUUCAUAAAGUAUUAUUACUAAAACCUAAAAAGGGAUAAUCUUUCUUAGAAAUUUUCUUCUUCCCCUAAUUUAUUUUCAUAGGAUUAGUAGUGUCAUUUUGUGUAAAAACUUUUCUUCUUUUAUUAAAUGAAUUAUAUUAUGAAAUUUUUAUCUUUUUAUAAAAAUAAUGAUUCAAUCAGUAAAGAUCUUUUAAAACUCUUUUAUUAAAUUUUUCUAAAUGUUAAUUUUAACUUUUUUUCAUAAACUUGGCUGAGUUAUCUGACUGUUUACCAAAAACAUUUCUGAAUGAAAAUUUUAUUCAGUAAGACCUGCUCAAUGAAUUUUCAAUAGCCGCAAUUCAGUGCUAAGGUAGCAUAAUCAUUUGCCUUGUAAUUUAAGGCUGGCAUGAAAGGUUUAACAUGAUGACUCCUUUAUUAAUAAAAAUUCUUAAAUUUUACUUAUAAGUAAAAAGGCUUAUAUUCUUUAGGGGGACGACAAGACCCUGACGAGCUUAACUUAUCAGUUGCACUGGGGUGGUAAAAAACUAUAUCUUUUUAAAACAUUCUCUUUUAACCUUAUUAUAAGAUUUUUCAAGUUACCGCAGGGAUAACAGCAUAAUUUUUUUCUAGAGACCUUAUCUAAAAAAAAGAUUGUGACCUCGAUGUUGA
This 1288-nucleotide ribosomal RNA is filed under the name Myrmekiaphila foliata. RNAcentral describes it as "partial 16S large subunit ribosomal RNA". The record is from RNAcentral. Lineage: Eukaryota; Metazoa; Arthropoda; Arachnida; Araneae; Euctenizidae.